AAUCAACGCUGGCGGCGUGCCUCAGACAUGCAAGUCGAACGCGAAAUCUCCCUUCGGGGAGAAAGUAGAGUGGCGCACGGGUGAGUAACACGUAGGUAAUCUACCUUUGGAUGGGGAAUAACACCGAGAAAUCGGUGCUAAUACCGCAUAAUGCAGCGGCACCUAAUGGUGACAGUUGUUAAAGCGGGGGAUCGCAAGACCUCGCGUCUAAAGAGGAGCCUGCGGCGGAUUAGCUAGUUGGUAAGGUAAUGGCUUACCAAGGCAACGAUCCGUAACCGGCCUGAGAGGGCGGUCGGUCACACUGACACUGACAUACGGGUCAGACUCCUACGGGAGGCAGCAGUCGGGAAUUUUGGGCAAUGGGCGAAAGCCUGACCCAGCAACGCCGCGUGAAGGAUGAAAUCCCUCGGGAUGUAAACUUCGCAAGAACGGGAAGAAUAAGCCGGUGCAAAUAUCACUGGCGAUGACGGUACCGUUGUAAGCUCCGGCUAACUCCGUGCCAGCAGCCG
RNAcentral lists this ribosomal RNA (509 nucleotides) under uncultured bacterium. RNAcentral describes it as "bacterial SSU rRNA". It matches the Rfam family "Bacterial small subunit ribosomal RNA", at positions 32 to 517 of the family's 1533-position model. The record is from RNAcentral.